This 779-nucleotide long non-coding RNA is filed under the name Panax ginseng (ginseng). Its description in RNAcentral is "long non-coding RNA (PGIN_LNC006069)". Lineage: Eukaryota; Viridiplantae; Streptophyta; Magnoliopsida; Apiales; Araliaceae. The record is from RNAcentral.
CUCUAUUGUUUUUAUCAUGCUAGAAGGCGAUGUUCGAUAUUCCAAAUAUCUUUGAACGUUACAACUUAAUAUAAUUUCAUUGAGGGGUUUGUUAUUAUUGGUCUCAUCUUGUUUAGCGUGCAUGAAAAUAUAUAUAUAAAAUACGCGUCAUAUUAUUAAACAUGCGAAGCAUGUUUGCAUAAUAUAUAAUAUAUAUAAUACUAGCAUGCACAUAUAAAAUACUAUAUUUUACCCGGAUUGAUUAUGGACUUUUAUUCUAGUUUGGUUCACUAGAGCCACCAAGUGAACCAAAAGGUCAAACCCCAGGGUGCAAGAAUAAACAUUUAAAUAUAACUAUUACAUUUAAACCCGAGCUCCAUUAUAAACGAGUCUUCGAGCGCUCCUUUCUCCGUGAUCUCCGGUUCUUCAAAAAAAAUUCUAACUAAUCCUAUUACAUUAAACUAUUUAAUUUAAAUAGAAACCUUGAUCAACAGUCAAGGGGAAGUAGAUAGGAGAGAGAUAGAAUUUACAUCAAGAAGAAAAUCAGAAAAGACGAAGUACGCAGACCUCAUUUAAUAAAACACAUUCAUUCAAACAUCCAACAAAAAUAAAUCCAAUCACAUUGGUCAAUUGUCCAUAAUCAAUCCUAUUUAUUAUCAUACAUAUCAUCAUAUGUAUCAAUAAAUAAAAUCAUUCCAUAUAUAUAUGAAUAUCAUUUAAUGAGCAAUAUCAAGUUGCAUGAAAUCUAGUUUCAAGAUUAAAAUCAACUCUUUAUUUUAAUUAUAAAAUUAUUAAAAUAA